Molecule: long non-coding RNA, 1868 nt
Organism: Dermochelys coriacea (leatherback sea turtle)
Lineage: Eukaryota; Metazoa; Chordata; Testudines; Dermochelyidae
Exons: 3
Source: RefSeq, a predicted model, not a curated record
CUCCCUGCAAGGGAGAUCAAGUAAUGAGCUUGUCCCGCUCCAGAGAACCUAAUUUGCACCAGAUGGAGUGAAUGUAUUUCACCUGGGCUUAGCAAAGCUCAGGCUUGGAAACUCUCAGAGAGAAGAAGGAAGGACUCUUUCCCUUUCUACUCAGUCCAGGUUGAGCUCGGAGCCUGCCCUGCUGAUUGGCCAGGAGAGCUGGAGGAGAGGAAUCAUUGCUAUGACCAUAGAGUUGGGAGGACGUUAUGACGGUGGUAGAGAAACAGCACAGAGGGAGAGCUGUGCCUGUGUGCCUUGGACAAUGAGACUUGAAUAAGGCAAUCAAGUACUGCCCAAUAUCUGCAUUUGAUGACAUAAGGAAUGAAUUGGCUGCUGCCCAGAUUGUCAGCAUCUUGGAGGACGGUCCCAGUACUUGCAGGUGUUUUGAGCUGGAGUCCCUGCAGCUGAAAGAAGAGGUGGCGGUUGAAGGGCACUUUCAGGGAUGGGCCCUCAACUUUGGCACCUACUACCCCACCUUGAAGUUGUAACCUGCUUGAAUUUGCUGUCCUUCGGGGCGUGCUGCACAGUCCAUCUUGUUACCUGGGCUUUGGGGAAGCAAAGAGAUGCAUUGAGCUGGUAACUAUAUGAGGAUGGCAUAUUGUUUGGACUUGACUUUAUGGUCGGUCUCUUUCUCUGUGCCUUACAGGCUGAAAUAGAUAUUCUCCCCUCACCAGUAGAGAAUACGGGCAAUGUUUUGCCACCCUUAAUCAUGUGAGUAACUCCUUACUACUUGAGUAAUUCCAUUGGUGCUCAGUGGGGCUGUUCAUUCUGAAUAAGGAUGGUAGAAUCUGCCCCAAUGGGACUAUUAAUGGAAUAAGGGGGUACUCAGAAUGAUUGGAGAGAUCAGGAUCUGGUUCCAAACAAAUUUAACACAGGCUCCCAACAGUUCUUAGGUGGUACCAGAUGUCAUUCAUUCCUUCACACUGGUCUCCUGAGGUCUCUCUCUUAUUACCAAUCCAUGAUGCAUCUGGUUCACCGUCCCCUGCUAAAUUUUAGCACUGUAUACAGUAUUUCUGUGGAGGGGAUCUAAAUGGUUCUGCAUGCUCAGCCACCGUACCUCGUUUCUUGUGACAAAGCACAGGGCUUACGUGCUGCUCAUUUUUCAUUUCAUGCAACUAUUAAAAUGUGCCCUUUGCAUACAGCAAACUGUGAAAGGAGCCUGCAAUGGCAGUUCCUGCAUAUAUCAUUAUUAACUUUUCCAAGGACCUGCAGGCUGAGAAAAUGAUUGUGGAACUGGACCACGAAGCCACACUUGAGAAGCAGCAGUACUAAAGAAGCAUGAUCAUGAUUUUUCCCUUGUCAUGAGUUCAGCCAUUCCUUUAACAGGAGAAAUAUCAGUGCCAGUAUAGUCACAAUUCUGCGAUUGUCUAUACAGUGUGCCGAGGUGAGCUCCAUUAAAUCAACUGUCUAGUUAGCCAGCUCAUAAAUACUGUCACACAAUAGCACUGUUUUCACGCACUCCAAUAGCUUUAGGUCAGCUGCUGGGUACCCAUGUUGAGUGGGGGUUGGAGGGAUGAUUUUGGAUGCAUUAUGCUACAUCAUAUUAGACUGUACAAGGCAAGCACUGUGUCAGGCUGUGAACCACAGGGGUGGACGGGAGUCAGAAUUUCAGUCCCUGAUUUCUCAGGACCAGACUCAGGCUAGGGCUUUUUUCCCCUCUGUUGUUAGUAUGGUGCAGCCUUAUGGUAACACUAAGACCAUGGAACAAAGAUGCCAUUGUAUAAUGCCCAGGGGAAAAGUAAAACUGAAAUAAAAGGGUUAGUGCAAUACAAUAGGUGAAGCCACCCCGAUUUUUUCAUUCAGUUAUCUCCUCGAACUCUUUCUGCUGG